CCUACGGGUGGCUGCAGUGAGGAAUAUUGGUCAAUGGACGAGAGUCUGAACCAGCCAAGCCGCGUGAGGGAUGAAUGUCCUAUGGGUUGUAAACUUCUUUUAUAUGGGAAUAAAAUGUUUGACGUGUGGGAGUUUGUAUGUACCAUAUGAAUAAGGAUCGACUAACUCCGUGCCAGCAGCCGCGGUAAUACGGAGGAUCCGAGCGUUAUCCGGAUGUAUUGGGUGUAAAGGGAGCGUAGGUGGAAUGUUAAGUCAGUUGUGAAAGUUUGGGGCUCAACCGUAAAAGUGCAGUUGAAACUGGCAGUCUGGAGUACGGGAGAGGUGAGCGGAAUUCGAGGUGUAGCGGUGAAAUGCGUAGAUAUCGCGAAGAACCCCGAGUGCGAAGGCAGCUCACUGGACCCCAACUGACGCUGAGGCUCGAAAGCGUGGGUAUCAAACAGGAUUAGAUACCCUGGUAGUC
This 460-nucleotide ribosomal RNA is filed under the name uncultured bacterium. RNAcentral describes it as "partial 16S ribosomal RNA". It matches the Rfam family "Bacterial small subunit ribosomal RNA", at positions 338 to 795 of the family's 1533-position model. The record is from RNAcentral.